UCAGACGAUGCGUCAUGCAUAUCAAUAAGCGGAGGAAAAGAAACUAACAAGGAUUCCCUCAGUAACGGUGAGUGAAGCGGGAAGAGCUCAAAUUUGAAAUCUUGAAAGGUCUACCUUGCACGAAUUGUAGUUUAAAGAAGUGUUUUCUGCUGACGAUCUGGUAUAUAAGUUCUUUGGAAUAGGACAUCAUCAGAGGGUGAGAAUCCCGUCUAUGAUUGCGAUUUGUAGCUUUGUGAUACACUUUCAAAGAGUCGGAUUGUUUGGGAAUGCAGUCCAAAAUGGGUGGUAAAUUUCAUCUAAAGCUAAAUAUUGGCGAGAGACCGAUAGCGAACAAGUACCGUGAGGGAAAGAUGAAAAGAACUUUGAAAAGGGAGUUAAACAGUACGUGAAAUUGUCAAAAGGGAAGCGUUUGACACCAGUGUUGUUUUUCUGAAAAUCAGUUAAAGAACUGUUUAUGCUAAGUUGUUUAGACUUUAUCAGCUAUCUGCUUAGUUUUGAGCUUUUCUUUAAUGCACUUUUCAGUUAACAAGUCAACAUCAAUUUCUUUUGCUGUAAAAAAGCUUGAGGAAGGUGGCUUGAGAUUCGUCUUAAGUGUUUACAGCCUCUUGCCUAUGCAGUCGGAGAGAUUGAGGUCUGCAGCGUAGAUCCUUCGGGGCUAAAUGCAUUUGUGCUAAGUUAUAGCAUUUUAUAGACAACUUGUUGACUAUGAUUUGUCUUGUAGCUUACUCGCUUAUGUUAUUUUACCUACGCUUAGGAUGUUGACUGAUAUGUAGUCGU
This 777-nucleotide ribosomal RNA is filed under the name uncultured Neocallimastigales. RNAcentral's name for it is "partial large subunit ribosomal RNA". It matches the Rfam family "Eukaryotic large subunit ribosomal RNA", at positions 18 to 643 of the family's 3401-position model. The record is from RNAcentral. Lineage: Eukaryota; Fungi; Neocallimastigomycota; Neocallimastigomycetes; Neocallimastigales.